UACGUAGGCAGCGAGCGUUGUUCGGAGUUACUGGGCGUAAAGCGUGCGCAGGCGGUUCGUUAAGUCAGCUGUGAAAGCCCCGGGCUCAACCUGGGAAUUGCGGUUGAAACUGGCGAACUAGAAUCUGGCAGAGGGGGGUGGAAUUCCACGUGUAGCAGUGAAAUGCGUAGAGAUGCGGCGGAACACCGAUGGCGAAGGCAGCCCCCUGGGCUGAGAUUGACGCUCAGGCACGAAAGCGUGGGGAGCAAACAGG
RNAcentral lists this ribosomal RNA (253 nucleotides) under uncultured prokaryote. RNAcentral's name for it is "partial 16S ribosomal RNA". It matches the Rfam family "Bacterial small subunit ribosomal RNA", at positions 524 to 776 of the family's 1533-position model. The record is from RNAcentral.